RNAcentral lists this transfer RNA (72 nucleotides) under Santolina chamaecyparissus. RNAcentral's name for it is "tRNA-Cys". It matches the Rfam family "tRNA". From Rfam's summary of the family: Transfer RNA (tRNA) molecules are approximately 80 nucleotides in length. Their secondary structure includes four short double-helical elements and three loops (D, anti-codon, and T loops). Further hydrogen bonds mediate the characteristic L-shaped molecular structure. tRNAs have two regions of fundamental functional importance: the anti-codon, which is responsible for specific mRNA codon recognition, and the 3' end, to which the tRNAs corresponding amino acid is attached (by aminoacyl-tRNA synthetases). tRNAs cope with the degeneracy of the genetic code in two manners: having more than one tRNA (with a specific anti-codon) for a particular amino acid; and 'wobble' base-pairing, i.e. permitting non-standard base-pairing at the 3rd anti-codon position. The record is from RNAcentral. RNAcentral also lists the same sequence under 5 other names. Lineage: Eukaryota; Viridiplantae; Streptophyta; Magnoliopsida; Asterales; Asteraceae.
GGCGGCAUGGCCGAGUGGUAAGGCGAGGGACUGCAAAUCCCUUUUUCCCCAGUUCAAAUCCGGGUGCCGCCU